This 445-nucleotide ribosomal RNA is filed under the name uncultured bacterium. RNAcentral describes it as "partial 16S ribosomal RNA". It matches the Rfam family "Bacterial small subunit ribosomal RNA", at positions 354 to 796 of the family's 1533-position model. The record is from RNAcentral.
GUAGGGAAUAUUGGGCAAUGGAGGCAACUCUGACCCAGCCAUGCCGCGUGCAGGAUGACGGCCCUCUGGGUUGUAAACUGCUUUUAUACGGGAAGAAAAAAUACUACGUGUAGUAUACUGACGGUACCGUAAGAAUAAGGAUCGGCUAACUCCGUGCCAGCAGCCGCGGUAAUAAGGAGGAUCCAAGCGUUGUCCGGAUUUAUUGGGUUUAAAGGGUGCGUAGGCGGAUCUUUAAGUCAGUGGUGAAAGCCUGCAGCUUAACUGUAGAAUUGCCAUUGAAACUGAAGAUCUUGAAUGUGGUUAAAGUAGGCGGAAUGUAUCAUGUAGCGGUGAAAUGCUUAGAUAUGAUACAGAACACCGAUAGCGAAGGCAGCUUGCUGAACCAUUAUUGACGCUGAGGCACGAGAGCGUGGGGAGCGAACAGGAUUAGAAACCCCGGUAGUCC